GAUGAACGCUGGCGGCGUGCUUAAUACAUGCAAGUCGAACGGAGGAUGUAGCGAUAUGUCCUCAGUGGCGAACGGGUGAGUAACGCGUUGGUGACCUGCCCCGAAGAGAGGGAUAACAGUUCGAAAGGACUGCUAAUACCGCAUGAGGUCGUUGAGGCUAGAGGCUCGAUGACGAAAGGAGAAAUCCGCUUUGGGAGGGGCCUGCGACCCAUCAGCUAGUUGGUAAGGUAACGGCUUACCAAGGCGAUGACGGGUAGGGGACCUGAGAGGGUGACUCCCCCACAAUGGAACUGAAACACGGUCCAUACACCUACGGGUGGCAG
RNAcentral lists this ribosomal RNA (323 nucleotides) under uncultured Chloroflexota bacterium. RNAcentral describes it as "bacterial SSU rRNA". It matches the Rfam family "Bacterial small subunit ribosomal RNA", at positions 28 to 351 of the family's 1533-position model. The record is from RNAcentral. Lineage: Bacteria; Bacillati; Chloroflexota.